Brassica oleracea var. oleracea is the source of this 1297-nucleotide long non-coding RNA. RefSeq lists it as uncharacterized. The transcript is spliced from 3 exons. NCBI's taxonomy places the organism in Eukaryota, Viridiplantae, Streptophyta, Magnoliopsida, Brassicales, Brassicaceae. The record is from RefSeq and is a predicted model, not a curated record.
GUUUUGGAGUUUGUUUUAUAAGUAGUUAUAGUCUAAAUCUAGGUUAGAUCUUUCCAUAUCUUGAAAUAUGAAAAUAUCUUUCGUUAUCUAAAAUUUUUCUUGUUUGACCUAGAGGCAAGAGAAAACAUGACACAAAGGCCGGAAACGGUUAGCAUUAAAAGUUGGAAGAUAACUUGUGGUUUUCGGACGAUAUUGGGGAUUAUCCAGACAGGGAGCACGACGUUGCUUCUUGGGGAUUAUCCAGACUGUCAUUUUAUGAACCAUUCGAGAAUCCAAUGGAAGAUGCUUUAUUACAAAAGUGUAUGACACCAGGAGAGACCAGAGUCUCUUAGAUCAUUAGACAUGGGGCCCAUAUGAUAAGGUGCCCUGAAUGGACUCAUAGUCUAGGGUUCAUAGUGCAAUGAUAUGCGAACUUUUCUUGGUGGCGCAUGGCCUAAGUUGGCACUUUGUCUUAUAGGCACGGAGACUUGUGGGCAAGUGGUUUUGUAUUUGAUAGAAGGUAUCUGGUCUAGAGGGUGCAUGACCUGACUAGCGGGGGGAAGGACUUAGCAUUAUGUUAUAUGAGCAUAUGAUGUCAUCUUGUUUGUCAGCAAAAAGCCGUGGAUUGAGCCAGUAAAUAAACUUGUGAACUGCUUUAAUGAGUAGUGAUCUUAGUCUGGAUGAUAGUGAUCAUGUAGAUUUGCUUGAGACAUCGAUGAAGAUAACCUUUGGAGUUUAUAUCAUGUAGAUUUGCUUGAGACAUCGAUGAAGAUAACCUUUGGAGUUUAUAUCAUGUAGAUUUGCUUGAGACAUCGAUGAAGAUAACCUUUGGAGUUUAUUUCUAUGUUUUAUAGGAAGGAAGAUUCAACACGAGAGCAGUAGAAGAAGAUGUGAAGGAGAUUAUCCGAGGUGGAUAAGAUGAUUCCGACUUUUCAAUUGGGCAUUCAGGAGAUUCUCUCUUUUCUCUCAGCUUCUCUCCUUGUAAGAUGUUAUCGUUAUGGUUAGCAGAUCACGAGCUUACCGUCGAUUCAAUCUUGAAAUUGAAUUCUCAACUCUUUUCUGAAUUUACUUUCUUUUUCUUGAUGGUAUUUCUUAGAAGGGAGAAACAUCUCAUUUUUGUUUUAUCAUUUAUCUGUUAGGAUCUUCUUUUCCAAUCCCGUUUUCCUUGGAUUGUUGAAUAUGUUCUGCCAUAAAACUCCUUCCCCUCUACUUUUCCAGCAUACUAAAGUCAAAAAUGGAAGGUAUGUACCCUUGUUAGACAUAAUUUGGUACAAGUGAUUCUUGCUCAGCUUUACGGUAUGAUAUGAAGGAAUAGACG